UCAUGAUGUAAGCUGGCUGUUCCAAUAUGGCUCCCUGUCAUGAUCUGCUGCUCUGCCACAGGCCCAAAGCAAUAGGGCCAAUUGAUCAUGGCCUGGAACCUCCAAAACUGAAUUUUCUAAAUGAAAAUAAAUCUAAAAGCAUUCUUGUGACUGUGACUUCUCUGAAUGCCAACUCAAAGAAAAAGAAAGAAAUCCUGUUCGGUUCCUUGCCUUUGAAGCCUCAGGACAGCCAAGUUUAUAUUAUCUAUAUCAAACUGUUCAAAAGAAGUAUGUAAACGACAGAUGUGAGCCACAUAUGUAAAUUAAAAUGUUUCAGUAGCCUCAUUAAAGAAAAAUUAAAACAAACUCAUUUGGAAGAGUUUAUCCAUUGUACAGAGCAGAGAUGCUGCUUAAGGGGCUUAAUUGACCGCAAGGCCUAGAGAGUACUGCACAACCAAGUGCUCAUGAUGUAUCAAAGAGAGACCCAUGGACUGUUAAUUCCCUGUGAUGAUUACUAUGCCACAGCUUGAACAAAAUGAUGUGUGAAUCCAACAGAGAAAACAAUAUGGCGUAGAAGAGUUCAGGAUGAAUUCAUAGAGGAAGUGAUAUCUGAGCUGAACUCCGAAGGUAAAGUAGAAUUUUUGCAGGUGGAGAAACUGAAUAAAUGAGUAAAUGAA
Marmota monax (woodchuck) is the source of this 656-nucleotide long non-coding RNA. RefSeq lists it as uncharacterized. The record is from RefSeq and is a predicted model, not a curated record. The transcript is spliced from 5 exons. Lineage: Eukaryota; Metazoa; Chordata; Mammalia; Rodentia; Sciuridae.